GAUGAAGAACGUAGCGAAGUGCGAUAAGUAGUGUGAAUUGCAGAAUUCCGUGAAUCAUCGAAUCUUUGAACGCAAAUUGCACUUUCUGGUAUUCCGGAAAGUAUGCCUGUUUGAGGGUCGGCUAAAUAAGAAAUCAAUGUGUUGCUUAGUAACAUAUUGGAAUUGGAUCAUCUUAACCUUGUUAAGCGAUCUAAAAAUUAUUUUGCUUCGGUAUGAUUACGAACUUAAUAAAUUUCGUCGUUUGAUAUAUCGAAUGUUAUUUUUAUUAGAUGUAACCAUUUUUAAUGGUUUUUACGUCUAUAAUUUUUGAUUUCGACCUCAAAUCAGGUAAGAGGACCCGCUGAACUUAAGCAUAUCAAUAAGCGGAGGA
RNAcentral lists this unclassified non-coding RNA (370 nucleotides) under soil metagenome. Its description in RNAcentral is "partial contains 5.8S ribosomal RNA, internal transcribed spacer 2, and large subunit ribosomal RNA". The stretch from base 1 to 120 matches the Rfam family "5.8S ribosomal RNA", at positions 35 to 154 of the family's 154-position model. The record is from RNAcentral.